This 529-nucleotide ribosomal RNA is filed under the name uncultured bacterium. Its description in RNAcentral is "bacterial SSU rRNA". It matches the Rfam family "Bacterial small subunit ribosomal RNA", at positions 774 to 1297 of the family's 1533-position model. The record is from RNAcentral.
AGUAAAUAGAUACCCAGGUAGUCCUGGCAGUAAACGGUGCACGUUUGGUGUGGGCGCAAUCGACCGCGUCCGCGCCGGAGCUAAACGCGUUAAACGUGCCGCCUGGGAAGUACGGUCGCAAGAUUAAAACUCAAAGAAAUUGACGGGGACCCGCACAAGCGGUGGAGUAUGUGGCUUAAUUCGAUGCAACGCGAAGAACCUUACCUGGUCUUGACAUGCAUUGUGUCUCCGGUGAAAGCCGGAUAGGGUAGCAAUACCCGCUUUGCACAGGUGCUGCAUGGCUGUCGUCAGCUCGCGUCGUGAGAUGUUGGGUUAAGUCCCGCAACGAGCGCAACCCCUGUGAUUUGUUGCCACCGGCUUAUGCCGAGCACUCGAAUCAGACUGCCUCGAUCAACGAGGAGGAAGGUGGGGAUGACGUCAAGUCCGUAUGGCCCUUACGACCAGGGCUGCACACGUACUACAAUGCCCAGUACAAUGUGAACCGAGACCGCGAGGUGGAGGAAAUCAAUAAAACUGGGCUCAGUUCAGA